Molecule: transfer RNA, 78 nt
Filed under: Planctomycetaceae bacterium
Lineage: Bacteria; Pseudomonadati; Planctomycetota; Planctomycetia; Planctomycetales; Planctomycetaceae
Description: tRNA-Pro
Rfam family: tRNA
About the family: Transfer RNA (tRNA) molecules are approximately 80 nucleotides in length. Their secondary structure includes four short double-helical elements and three loops (D, anti-codon, and T loops). Further hydrogen bonds mediate the characteristic L-shaped molecular structure. tRNAs have two regions of fundamental functional importance: the anti-codon, which is responsible for specific mRNA codon recognition, and the 3' end, to which the tRNAs corresponding amino acid is attached (by aminoacyl-tRNA synthetases). tRNAs cope with the degeneracy of the genetic code in two manners: having more than one tRNA (with a specific anti-codon) for a particular amino acid; and 'wobble' base-pairing, i.e. permitting non-standard base-pairing at the 3rd anti-codon position.
Source: RNAcentral
CGGGGUGUAGCGCAGCCUGGUUAGCGCGUUUGACUGGGGGUCAAAAGGUCGGAGGUUCGAAUCCUCUCACCCCGACUA